This 547-nucleotide long non-coding RNA is filed under the name Glycine max (soybean). Its description in RNAcentral is "long non-coding RNA (GMAX_LNC001293)". The record is from RNAcentral. Lineage: Eukaryota; Viridiplantae; Streptophyta; Magnoliopsida; Fabales; Fabaceae.
AGUGGCUGGCGGGUUGAUUGAUUCUUGGUAAUUGAUCAAUUGAGACAUACUCAGAUGAUUUAAGCGGAAUUGAUAAUUCUCAUUGAAGUGGGGUAAAUCAAGCAGUGCUUGGCAACAAAUACGAUAAGUCACUAUAGAUGCCAAAAUGGUAAGUAACAACAACACCAUUGUUUAUUGAAACGAGAGAUAGGCUUGGGGGAACUAUCUCACACAAAACAAUGAGGAAGGUGGAUUGGGUAUUGGAGAAAAUGGAAGUGGAGAUGCGUUUGUGGGGGUAGAUCCAGGUGUUAGGAUGCAAGGUGAGGAAAAAUUGGUGCUUUCUGAUGUAGUUGUGGAAAAAGAAAAUCACUUAUUUGGGAAGACUUUUGUCAGUAAUGGAAGAUUCAAGAAGAGGGAAUUGGUUAAUGGUUAAUAAAAGACUAAAAGUAAGAAGGCAAGACAUGUUUCUGGAGUUAAAGAGGGUUAGGCAAGAGUUUAGAUCUGUUUUUUUUUUUUUUUUUUUUGUUUUGUUACAGACAAGGGUUGAAAUCUUUAGGAGCACUUUACC